RNAcentral lists this long non-coding RNA (899 nucleotides) under Nicotiana benthamiana. Its description in RNAcentral is "long non-coding RNA (NBEN_LNC022446)". The record is from RNAcentral. Lineage: Eukaryota; Viridiplantae; Streptophyta; Magnoliopsida; Solanales; Solanaceae.
AAUGCAACAAACAUUUUUCUCCUCCAACCCCCAUAACCACUUCCCGAGAAGGGAGUGGGGACAAGAGAGACCCCAGGGACAUCAGAGGAGUAUAAAAAGAGAGGACUGGUAGAAUCUACCGAGGAGGAGGUACCAGCAUUCGUAUAAGAAGUCAUGAUUAAUGUACCAGCUUGAAAAAAGGAACAGUUUCGACAAGCAAAAUAUAACGAAACCAGAUACUCACAUACGGAGCCAAAUAAUCAUACACAAAGCAUACAAUACUCAAGAUAAGGACAGAAUUACCCUCCUUCUUCGUUCACACACAAAACCAGAUACUCACAUACGGAGCCAAAUAAUCACACACAAAGCAUACAAUACUCAAGAUAAGGACUGAGUUACCCUCCUUCUUCGCGACCAGAGAAGAUCGGCCUUCAAUCAGUCAGAGAAAACCCUAGGUACAAAACCCUAGGUGCAACCGUUGAAAACCUUACUGGAAAUAUGGGGAGGGAUGUCGGAAAGUCACUCUAAACAUCCACUGAGUGAGGAUCGAUCCACCGGAUAGCAUAAAACUCUAGGUUAAACCACCAGAAACCCUAGAAGCCGAUAGGUCACCGAAAAAUCACCCAAAAAUCAGCAGAAAAUCUCCCAGAACGUUCGAGUGAAGAAAAUACACUCAGAUAUCAUGAUGAAAAACUCGGAAAGGCAUCCGAUCUAGGUCGGAAUCAUCAUCGAUAGAAAGUUCGAGUGAAGAAAAUAUACUCAGAUAUCACGAUGAAAGUCUCAGAAAGGCAUCCGAUUUAGAUCGGAAUCGUCAUCGACCACAAAGUCUCAUAAACACCCCCAAAAUCUCAAAGGAGACUUCAACCAAGAUAACAAGAUGCAGAAAAACAUAGUCGGAUCGUCGUCUAGGCUCUGAUACC